Molecule: ribosomal RNA, 1737 nt
Filed under: Salmonella enterica subsp. enterica serovar Bareilly
Lineage: Bacteria; Pseudomonadati; Pseudomonadota; Gammaproteobacteria; Enterobacterales; Enterobacteriaceae
Description: bacterial LSU rRNA
Rfam family: Bacterial large subunit ribosomal RNA
Source: RNAcentral
GUUGGGUAGGGGAGCGUUCUGUAAGCCUGUGAAGGUGGCCUGUGAGGGUUGCUGGAGGUAUCAGAAGUGCGAAUGCUGACAUAAGUAACGAUAAAGCGGGUGAAAAGCCCGCUCGCCGGAAGACCAAGGGUUCCUGUCCAACGUUAAUCGGGGCAGGGUGAGUCGACCCCUAAGGCGAGGCCGAAAGGCGUAGUCGAUGGGAAACGGGUUAAUAUUCCCGUACUUGGUGUUACUGCGAAGGGGGGACGGAGAAGGCUAUGUUGGCCGGGCGACGGUUGUCCCGGUUUAAGCGUGUAGGUGUGUGUUCCAGGUAAAUCCGGUUCACUUUAACACUGAGGCGUGAUGACGAGGCACUACGGUGCUGAAGCAACAAAUGCCCUGCUUCCAGGAAAAGCCUCUAAGCAUCAGGUAACAUCAAAUCGUACCCCAAACCGACACAGGUGGUCAGGUAGAGAAUACCAAGGCGCUUGAGAGAACUCGGGUGAAGGAACUAGGCAAAAUGGUGCCGUAACUUCGGGAGAAGGCACGCUGACACGUAGGUGAAGUGAUUUACUCAUGGAGCUGAAGUCAGUCGAAGAUACCAGCUGGCUGCAACUGUUUAUUAAAAACACAGCACUGUGCAAACACGAAAGUGGACGUAUACGGUGUGACGCCUGCCCGGUGCCGGAAGGUUAAUUGAUGGGGUCAGCGCAAGCGAAGCUCCUGAUCGAAGCCCCGGUAAACGGCGGCCGUAACUAUAACGGUCCUAAGGUAGCGAAAUUCCUUGUCGGGUAAGUUCCGACCUGCACGAAUGGCGUAAUGAUGGCCAGGCUGUCUCCACCCGAGACUCAGUGAAAUUGAACUCGCUGUGAAGAUGCAGUGUACCCGCGGCAAGACGGAAAGACCCCGUGAACCUUUACUAUAGCUUGACACUGAACAUUGAGCCUUGAUGUGUAGGAUAGGUGGGAGGCUUUGAAGUGUGGACGCCAGUCUGCAUGGAGCCGACCUUGAAAUACCACCCUUUAAUGUUUGAUGUUCUAACGUGGACCCGUGAUCCGGGUUGCGGACAGUGUCUGGUGGGUAGUUUGACUGGGGCGGUCUCCUCCUAAAGAGUAACGGAGGAGCACGAAGGUUGGCUAAUCCUGGUCGGACAUCAGGAGGUUAGUGCAAUGGCAUAAGCCAGCUUGACUGCGAGCGUGACGGCGCGAGCAGGUGCGAAAGCAGGUCAUAGUGAUCCGGUGGUUCUGAAUGGAAGGGCCAUCGCUCAACGGAUAAAAGGUACUCCGGGGAUAACAGGCUGAUACCGCCCAAGAGUUCAUAUCGACGGCGGUGUUUGGCACCUCGAUGUCGGCUCAUCACAUCCUGGGGCUGAAGUAGGUCCCAAGGGUAUGGCUGUUCGCCAUUUAAAGUGGUACGCGAGCUGGGUUUAGAACGUCGUGAGACAGUUCGGUCCCUAUCUGCCGUGGGCGCUGGAGAACUGAGGGGGGCUGCUCCUAGUACGAGAGGACCGGAGUGGACGCAUCACUGGUGUUCGGGUUGUCAUGCCAAUGGCACUGCCCGGUAGCUAAAUGCGGAAGAGAUAAGUGCUGAAAGCAUCUAAGCACGAAACUUGCCCCGAGAUGAGUUCUCCCUGAGACUUAGAGUCUCCUGAAGGAACGUUGAAGACGACGACGUUGAUAGGCCGGGUGUGUAAGCGCAGCGAUGCGUUGAGCUAACCGGUACUAAUGAACCGUGAGGCUUAACCUUACAACGCCGAAG